Molecule: ribosomal RNA, 442 nt
Filed under: uncultured bacterium
Lineage: Bacteria
Description: partial 16S ribosomal RNA
Rfam family: Bacterial small subunit ribosomal RNA
Source: RNAcentral
CCUACGGGGGGCAGCAGUAGGGAAUCUUUCACAAUGGGCGAAAGCCUGAUGGAGCAACGCCGCGUGCAGGAUGAAGGCCUUCGGGUUGUAAACUGCUUUUAUAAGCGAGAAAUAUGAUGGUAACUUAUGAAUAAGGAUCGGCUAACUACGUGCCAGCAGCCGCGGUCAUACGUAGGAUCCGAGCAUUAUCCGGAGUGACUGGGUGUAAAGAGUUGCGUAGGUGGCAUAAUAAGUAGCUAGUGAAAUCUGGUGGCUCAACCAUUCAGACUAUUAGGUAAACUGUUAAGCUCGAGACCGUUAGGGGUAACUGGAAUUUCUAGUGUAGGAGUGAAAUCCGUAGAUAUUAGAAGGAACACCAAUAGCGUAGGCAGGUUGCUGGGACGGUUCUGACACUAAGGCACGAAAGCGUAGGGAGCAAACGGGAUUAGAUACCCCUGUAGUC